This 467-nucleotide ribosomal RNA is filed under the name uncultured bacterium. RNAcentral's name for it is "partial 16S ribosomal RNA". It matches the Rfam family "Bacterial small subunit ribosomal RNA", at positions 28 to 507 of the family's 1533-position model. The record is from RNAcentral.
GAUGAACGCUGACAGAAUGCUUAACACAUGCAAGUCAACUUGAAUUUGGGUUUUUAACUUAGGUUUGGGUGGCGGACGGGCGAGUAACGCGUAAAGAACUUGCCUCACAGCUAGGGACAACAUUUGGAAACGAAUGCUAAUACCUAAUAUUAUGAUAAUAGGGCAUCCUAUAAUUAUGAAAGCUAUAAGCGCUGUGAGAGAGCUUUGCGUCCCAUUAGCUAGUUGGAGAGGUAACGGCUCACCAAGGCGAUGAUGGGUAGCCGGCCUGAGAGGGUGAUCGGCCACAAGGGGACUGAGACACGGCCCUUACUCCUACGGGAGGCAGCAGUGGGGAAUAUUGGACAAUGGACCAAGAGUCUGAUCCAGCAAUUCUGUGUGCACGAUGAAGUUUUUCGGAAUGUAAAGUGCUUUCAGUUGGGAAGAAAGAAAUGACGGUACCAACAGAAGAAGUGACGGCUAAAUACGUG